GGGGAGAGGGGGGCUAUCUGCAGUCGAGCGAACAGAUAGGAGCUUGCUCCUUUGACGUUAGCGGCGGACGGGUGAGUAACACGUGGAUAACCUACCUAUAAGACUGGGAUAACUUCGGGAAACCGGAGCUAAUACCGGAUAACAUAUUGAACCGCAUGGUUCAAUAGUGAAAGGCGGCUUUGCUGUCACUUAUAGAUGGAUCCGCGCCGUAUUAGCUAGUUGGUAAGGUAACGGCUUACCAAGGCAACGAUACGUAGCCGACCUGAGAGGGUGAUCGGCCACACUGGAACUGAGACACGGUCCAGACUCCUACGGGAGGCAGCAGUAGGGAAUCUUCCGCAAUGGGCGAAAGCCUGACGGAGCAACGCCGCGUGAGUGAUGAAGGUCUUCGGAUCGUAAAACUCUGUUAUCAGGGAAGAACAAAUGUGUAAGUAACUGUGCACAUCUUGACGGUACCUGAUCAGAAAGCCACGGCUAACUACGUGCCAGCAGCCGCGGUAAUACGUAGGUGGCAAGCGUUAUCCGGAAUUAUUGGGCGUAAAGCGCGCGUAGGCGGUUUUUUAAGUCUGAUGUGAAAGCCCACGGCUCAACCGUGGAGGGUCAUUGGAAACUGGAAAACUUGAGUGCAGAAGAGGAAAGUGGAAUUCCAUGUGUAGCGGUGAAAUGCGCAGAGAUAUGGAGGAACACCAGUGGCGAAGGCGACUUUCUGGUCUGUAACUGACGCUGAUGUGCGAAAGCGUGGGGAUCAAACAGGAUUAGAUACCCUGGUAGUCCACGCCGUANACGAUGAGUGCUAAGUGUUAGGGGGUUUCCGCCCCUUAGUGCUGCAGCU
Molecule: ribosomal RNA, 832 nt
Filed under: Staphylococcus sp. Ver9
Lineage: Bacteria; Bacillati; Bacillota; Bacilli; Caryophanales; Staphylococcaceae
Description: bacterial SSU rRNA
Rfam family: Bacterial small subunit ribosomal RNA
Source: RNAcentral